CCUACGGGAGGCAGCAGUGGGGAAUAUUGGACAAUGGGGGCAACCCUGAUCCAGCCAUGCCGCGUGUGUGAAGAAGGCCUUUUGGUCGUAAAGCACUUUAAGCAGGGAGGAGAGGCUAAUGGUUAAUACCCAUUAGAUUAGACGUUACCUGCAGAAUAAGCACCGGCUAACUCUGUGCCAGCAGCCGCGGUAAUACAGAGGGUGCGAGCGUUAAUCGGAAUUACUGGGCGUAAAGCGAGUGUAGGUGGCUCAUUAAGUCACAUGUGAAAUCCCCGGGCUUAACCUGGGAACUGCAUGUGAUACUGGUGGUGCUAGAAUACGUGAGAGGGAAGUAGAAUUCCAGGUGUAGCGGUGAAAUGCGUAGAGAUCUGGAGGAAUACCGAUGGCGAAGGCAGCUUCCUGGCAUAAUAUUGACACUGAGAUUCGAAAGCGUGGGUAGCAAACAGGAUUAGAUACCCUGGUAG
RNAcentral lists this ribosomal RNA (464 nucleotides) under uncultured bacterium. RNAcentral describes it as "bacterial SSU rRNA". It matches the Rfam family "Bacterial small subunit ribosomal RNA", at positions 338 to 793 of the family's 1533-position model. The record is from RNAcentral.